UACGUAGGUGGCAAGCGUUGUCCGGAAUUAUUGGGCGUAAAGCGCGCGCAGGCGGUCCUUUAAGUCUGAUGUGAAAGCCCACGGCUCAACCGUGGAGGGUCAUUGGAAACGGGGGGACUUGAGUACAGAAGAGAAGAGUGGAAUUCCACGUGUAGAGGUGAAAUUCGUAGAUAUCGGGAGGAACACCGGUGGCGAAGGCGGCGACCUGGGUCGAUACUGACGCUGAGGUGCGAAAGCGUGGGGAGCAAACAGG
RNAcentral lists this ribosomal RNA (253 nucleotides) under uncultured bacterium. RNAcentral's name for it is "partial 16S ribosomal RNA". It matches the Rfam family "Bacterial small subunit ribosomal RNA", at positions 524 to 776 of the family's 1533-position model. The record is from RNAcentral.